This 422-nucleotide ribosomal RNA is filed under the name uncultured bacterium. RNAcentral's name for it is "bacterial SSU rRNA". It matches the Rfam family "Bacterial small subunit ribosomal RNA", at positions 355 to 774 of the family's 1533-position model. The record is from RNAcentral.
UGAGGAAUAUUGGGCAAUGCCCGAAAGGGUGACCCAGCAACGCCGCGUGGAGGAUGAGGGUCGUAAGAUUGUAAACUCCUGUUAGAGGGGAAGAAUAACUAAGUUUGGAGCUUAGUAUGACUGUACCCUCAGAGAAAGCCCCGGUUAACUACGUGCCAGCAGCCGCGGUAAUACGUGGGGGGCAAGCGUUGUCCGGAUUUACUGGGUGUAAAGGGCGCGCAGGCGGAAUGGAAAGUCAGUGGUGAAAUCCUACAGCUUAACUGUAGAACUGCCUUUGAUACUUUCAUUCUUGAGUUCGGGAGAGAGAGACGGAAUUCCAGGUGUAGUGGUGAAAUACGUAGAUAUCUGGAAGAACACCAGUUGCGAAGGCGGUCUCUUGGUCCGAUACUGACGCUGAGGCGCGAAAGCGUGGGGAGCAAACA